RNAcentral lists this long non-coding RNA (260 nucleotides) under Gallus gallus (chicken). RNAcentral describes it as "long non-coding RNA NONGGAT005651". The record is from RNAcentral. Lineage: Eukaryota; Metazoa; Chordata; Aves; Galliformes; Phasianidae.
AUUGUGCCGUGCUGCUCUUGGGAUGCAUCGUGGCCGAGCAGUAUCCCAUAGGCAUGUAUAGGCCAUGUUUGUGGCAGUCGUUCAGCAGCCGCUGGUGGCUGGCGUGGUGCUGCUGGGCUCUCCCUUGUCCAUCCACGCACCCAGCCGUCGGCCUCCUUGCAGUCCUUCGCUCUCAGCUCCACGAGGCCCUGCUCCCCUCAACUCCAUGGCAUUUUUCCACAAGAGAGAGGAGGGCAGCGCUCAUUGCAUGCACAUUUCCA